GUGAGGAAUAUUGCGCAAUGGAGGCAACUCUGACGCAGCCAUGCCGCGUGCAGGAAGAAGGCGCUACGCGUUGUAAACUGCUUUUAACCGGGAAGAAACCCCAGGACGUGUCCUGGGUUGACGGUACCGGAGGAAUAAGCACCGGCUAACUUCGUGCCAGCAGCCGCGGUAAUACGAAGGGUGCAAGCGUUAUCUGGAUUCAUUGGGGUUAAAGGGUGCGUAGGCGGAGCGUUAAGUCAGUGGUGAAAUCCUGCAGCUUAACUGUAGACUUGCCAUUGAUACUGGCGCUCUUGAGUGCGCUUGAAGUGGGCGGAAUGUGCCGUGUAGCGGUGAAAUGCUUAGAUAUGGCACAGAACACCAAUUGCGAAGGCAGCUCACUAAGGCGAUACUGACGCUGAGGCACGAAAGCGUGGGGAUCGAACAGGAUUAGAAACCCGGGUAGUCC
Molecule: ribosomal RNA, 445 nt
Filed under: uncultured bacterium
Lineage: Bacteria
Description: partial 16S ribosomal RNA
Rfam family: Bacterial small subunit ribosomal RNA
Source: RNAcentral